AUACGUUGAAUAAUCCAACUAAAAAACCAGAUUUACUUUUUUCUUAUCAAAGUGAACAGCAGAGACCACAAUUGGAAUUCUUAUUGGGUAAUCGCUUCAAAGCUGAACAAUAUCAAGAUAGUGAAUACUUUUUCAACUCAAGUGGUUGCCAAUUUUCACCGAAAUCUUUUAUUGAAUAGCUCGCUGAAUUGGAAACAUUCUAAGUGGAAUCAAAGAUAAGUUUUUCGUAUACUGAACACCUUCGUUAAAAUUCUUCGUAUAGCCAUUUCGACAGAUGUUUUUAAUCUACAUUUGAAUUUAAAUUCAGGUUCUGGAUCGAAAUGGGACAAUAUUAGGAUGUUCCCUCGUUGUGCUAAAAAAUAUCUUCAAACAGAAAUUAAAACGCCAACCAAAGUGUAUAUUUUUAACAAUACAAAUUAUUGUUCUUUAUUUUUUGUUCUUCAUUAAUUCAGGGUUGAAUUUUGCAAAUUGUUCACAUGAGAAUGCACAGUUUUUCGUCGCAAUGUCAUUUAUAAGCAAUCAUUUGCGACAACUUAAUUUACAGUAUAGUUAAGUAACCAUAUGUUUUUGUUUUAGCUGACAGUAUUCUUUGUUGCGUUGUAGUGGAGCAAUAGAUGGUUUGUCUAUCUUAAAAUUUCUCUGUUUUUUUUAGUUCAGUUUCGAUGGAAUUGUGUUUGGUUGUGUCGGGGAUGGAAACAAAAAAUUUAAACAAGUUUAGCGUUUUAAAGCAAGCGGUCUUGUGUUUUUGUUGUUGUUGUUGUUUUUUUUUCAUUUUAAAUAACAAACGUAUGCGUGUUUCCCGUGUGAAAAAAUAGUAACUGAGCAGUCAGUUAACUAAUUUGGGACAAAAAUGACUUACUUUGAUUGACAUUUCAGUACAAAGUGUAGUGUAAGUCUAUCAUAGUUAACUGAAAUCAUUUGAAGUUACAAGUCAAUCUAAGUUGCUUCAUUUGGGACCAAGUGAUUUUCUUAGAACAAAAAUAUAAAUUCAAUCAACUAAAGUCAACUGAAGUUAUAGUCAGUCAGUCAUUUUUUUUUCACACGGGUUGUCUUGUGAACGCAUCUGAUAAACUGAACAAAAGUCGGUUUUUCUUCUGCUACGUACAUUUUUCCAUAAAUUUAAGCAAAAAAAACAAAA
This is a long non-coding RNA of Sitodiplosis mosellana (orange wheat blossom midge), 1138 nucleotides long. RefSeq lists it as uncharacterized. The record is from RefSeq and is a predicted model, not a curated record. NCBI's taxonomy places the organism in Eukaryota, Metazoa, Arthropoda, Insecta, Diptera, Cecidomyiidae. The transcript has 2 exons.